Molecule: long non-coding RNA, 3306 nt
Organism: Triticum aestivum (bread wheat)
Lineage: Eukaryota; Viridiplantae; Streptophyta; Magnoliopsida; Poales; Poaceae
Exons: 5
Source: RefSeq, a predicted model, not a curated record
CAAUCGUCAGGACGCCCCAGCCGCCAGAGCCCUUCGCCACCGCCGAGAUCCGAGAGGAGCCGCCGCCUCCAGGUCAUCACCGAGGUCCGCAAUCGCCGACGUUGAGGUCCGAGAGGAGCCGCCGCCGCACCGUCUUCCUCCUCCGCCAAUCUCCGAGGCGCCCUACUCGUGCGCCGCCGUCGCCGCCUCACAGAACCCUAGGGCAGGGCAGGGCGUGGUCGCGUUGCGGGCAGCGAGGAGCGGCGCCGGCGCUUGCGUCGCCAGUUAGCGAGAGAGGAAGGGAGUGACGACGAUGUCUUCGUGCGAGGACAAGGACUCUGCUGCCGCGCAGGCCGCGGCGACCACGGACGUGGAGCUGCUGAAGCAGUUUUGGCGCAACGAGAAGGCCGCGCUGGAGAUCUGCCACUUCGACUCCGCCCUCGUCUCCCUUGCCCUAUGGCCAUUGGUUGUGUCAUCGUUCUUCACAAUACUGAAUGUUUCUGAUUCUUCACGGCCUGUGCUGAAACCAGGAGGAGACGUUCGAUGACUUCACGGAUAACGACAUCGACGACUGGUGGUUUCGCUGUACCAGAUGGAGCUCGAUCGCACGCUCUUCCUGCUUUGCUCUAUGGUCAUACCUACACCUCCGCCUGCAAAAGCUCAGACUGAAUUCAGUCUCUGUAAUUCAGUCUCUAUAGUUUGUACCGCACAGUGGUUCAGUUACUAACUGAAAUGUUGCAUUAUGCAAUUACUUGACCUCAUCGUGCUGCUGUAUAUAGAUUGAAAAGUACAUGGCGCACAUCUCCAAUUCUUACGACCUCCUGAGCUGGUUGAUGCAGCAGGAGCAGCGAUUCACCAAGAGCUGCAAGGAGAUCAUGGAGAAGCAUCUCAGAGCAGUCGGUGCUGUCGAAGCUUCCCUACGGUUAUGACUCGUUGUUGCCUCCAUUGCGCGCUCGGCCUAGCUCCUGCGCCCCCUCUCGGGCUCGACCUCCCGCUGUACCUCUCCUCGACCAACUGGCCCGCCUCCCCACAUGCAUCACCAUGCUCCCCAAUGGUGUCCGCGCCUCCGAGUAGAUCCUGGUCCCUCGGCAUGUGUGGGGGUGUUCACGGCGUCCGGCUUGAUCAACGAGUUGUUGGAGUCCUCCGACAUGAAGGACCUGCUGGAUAAGUUGGCGUUCACGGACACGUCGCACGGGAGCCACUUGCAGAUGAUGUAGGAGGUGGAGGCCACGGGGGGCAACAUCGGCGCCUCCGCAUCUAGGUAGCAGUUGGUGCACAGCUACGACAUGCUCAUACAUACUGCGGGCCGUGCGUUGAACAGGAUUCUUUGAUGAUAAGUAACAGAUUUUUUCCUCCAGUGGCUGAAACAGGGGCUCCAUUUUCUCGAGUAUGGCCCUGGUUUAAAAAUCAGCGCUUGGCCACAGGCUAUGUCGUGCUCUAUUCGACCAUGCCUCCAACAUGCCCCUGGUCGCACACGCUGCUACCUUCCUUGACGGCCUCUUCGCCACCCGUGUGUGCCGCGUUGCUGUCGUCUCCAUGCCACCCAUCAGUUGCGGUGGCGACUCAACAACUACCUUAUGCACCUAGACCCAUCUGCUUCUCUGAUUUGAUUUUGUGGGUUGCACUGAUCUCUCUUAGUACAUGUCUAUUUGCAGAGAAAUUAUUUAGAAUUCAGGCUUCAGGGAAGACUGAUCCAGACUGGCGGUACAUUUCUAAACAUUGUGCUUUUGACAUCUGUGGGGAACUUCACUAAACAAAUUCUGAUCCUUUAGGUUUAUGAACUUUGAAUUCUGAAUUAUAUUAAGCCAAACAUUUUGUUGCUGUGCCAUUUAUUACAUCCAUCUCUGAUUCUUCCCAUAAAACCAACGUCCUUAUCUGCAUUUUUGGGGAACUUCACAUAGCCUUCUGGUCUACUUACUAUAUAUACAUAUAUACAUGGUUUUGCCAUCUAGCUAGAAGUUGAUUGGUCAAGCAUGCCAAAAAAAAAUAGUUAGGUGGUGCUAUGCGUUUCUCGGAAUUAAUAUAACUUGUGACAAUAAACUGAUUGCGGGAUCGAAACUUGCUGCAAUUUACUGCUAGGAAAUCUUAUAAUUGGGCAGCACAAUAACAGAGAGGAGAGUUGCUAAUUCACUUCUAAUGAAUGUGCUUUGGGACCCCUAGCUUGCUUAUUCACUGGGAAUAAGAGGGCAUUACAGUUCUCAUCUACUAUACAUUUUUGGAGACUUUCGAUUUCCUACCUAGGUGCAUGAUGUCUAUAUGAAUAUUUUUCUGCAAAGUCUUAACCAUCAAGCAAUAUGUCGGCGCCUUCGAUGUAGAGUUGAUUAUACUGUCUAUUCUACUGCAAGUAGGGAAAGAUGGACUCUGGAUAUCCAUAUCCUUAGGUGUUAAUGUACUGCUAGGCCAUAUAGUAUAUGACUGAGUUCUUUCACCUCCUAAUCCUGGGAGUAAUUCAAUUCAAUAGUUAGGCAUUUGCGUUCUGCAUAUAAUUGACUAACAGCAAGUAAGAGAACUGUUAGGUGCAUCCACACUCCUGCUUGAUCUAUGUCCGAGCUCCCUCCUUUGCAUAGCAAAAUCUGUUGAUGACUUACCGGACUGAAUGGAAUCGCUAAGUUGAUGUUCCAUGGAAUUGCUAACCACCUCUCAAAGGUUUAAUGUUUGAUCUCUUUGUUAUUGAUCUAAGAGAGAAAUGGGUUCUGCAGCUCUAAUGUGAUAGUAUUUGUAACAAACACUGACAAAAUCAAUACCUUGACAGGCAAUUACUUUGAUGCUUGGAAAAAAAUGUGGACUCAUUAGUGCCUCUCUUUAAAGUGUACAUGUUGUAAUAUAGCAAAAUUAGAGAAACAUCUUCAUUACCAUGCCCAUGUACAGUAUUACUUGCAUUGCAUAUCCCUUAGAUGAGAAUAAUCGAAUGUAUACAUAUAUGUAUAUCUUUAGUAGUCAUUUGAUACUUUUUUCUUCAUGUGGAGAGUCCAAUUUGUGAUAUUCAUCAAUGGAACCAAAACAUCUUCAGUUCUGUUUCCUAUUUCAAACUUUUUUCUCAUGAGGAAGAUUUUCAUUCAGAUGAUCUUAUAUCCUACACGUUGCAGGUACGUGUUUCUCUCUACUUUAUGCCUCAGAUUUGUUUCCCCUGCAAUAUGGAAUAUUAAUGUAUAUUCUUCUGAUGUGUAUCUUAUAAGGUUGUAGUACAUACAUAGUCUGUGUGUAUCUAUUGGUAUGCUGCAAACCUGGGUUGUGCAGGCAGCAGCUGGCUUUUCCAUUUGCUAUCUUUCUGUUCUCGGAAGCAAUUAAAUUUCUCAUCGUGCACCUGAGAAGAACCUAUAAUCUACA